CCUACGGGUGGCAGCAGUGGGGAAUAUUGCACAAUGGGGGAAACCCUGAUGCAGCGACGCCGCGUGCGUGAAGAAGUAUUUCGGUAUGUAAAGCUCUAUCAGCAGGGAAGAAAAAAGACGGUACCUGACUAAGAAGCCCCGGCUAACUACGUGCCAGCAGCCGCGGUGAUACAUAGGGGGCAAGCGUUAUCCGGAUUUACUGGGUGGAAAGGGAGCGUAGACGGCGCGACUAGUCUGAAGUGAAAGUGAGGGGCUUAACCCCUGAACUGCUUUGGAACCUGGCAUGCUAGAGUGCUGGAGAGGUAAGUGGAAUUCCUAGUGAAGCGGUGAAAUGCGUAGAUAUUAGGAGGAACACCAGUGGCGAAGGCGGCUUACUGGACAGUAACUGACGUUGAGGCUCGAAAGCGUGGGGAGCAAACAGGAUUAGAUACCCGGGUAGUC
RNAcentral lists this ribosomal RNA (441 nucleotides) under uncultured bacterium. RNAcentral's name for it is "partial 16S ribosomal RNA". It matches the Rfam family "Bacterial small subunit ribosomal RNA", at positions 338 to 795 of the family's 1533-position model. The record is from RNAcentral.